RNAcentral lists this ribosomal RNA (432 nucleotides) under uncultured bacterium. RNAcentral describes it as "bacterial SSU rRNA". It matches the Rfam family "Bacterial small subunit ribosomal RNA", at positions 917 to 1350 of the family's 1533-position model. The record is from RNAcentral.
GGGCCCGCACAAGCGGUGGAGUAUGUGGUUUAAUUCGAUGCAACGCGAAGAACCUUACCAGGGUUUGACAUCCUGCGAAUCUCUUGGAAACAGGAGAGUGCCUUCGGGAACGCAGUGACAGGUGGUGCAUGGCUGUCGUCAGCUCGUGUCGUGAGAUGUUGGGUUAAGUCCCGCAACGAGCGCAACCCACGUCUUUAGUUGCCAGCAUUUAGUUGGGCACUCUAGAGAGACUGCCGGUGAUAAACCGGAGGAAGGUGUGGAUGACGUCAAGUCAUCAUGCCCCUUACAUCCUGGGCUACACACGUGCUACAAUGGCGCAUACAGAGGGCAGCCAACUUGCGAGAGUGAGCGAAUCCCAAAAAGUGCGUCGUAGUCCGGAUCGGAGUCUGCAACUCGACUCCGUGAAGUCGGAAUCGCUAGUAAUCGUGGAUC